AGGAAUUCUCUGGGCUCGAAAACUUAAAAUUAGUCGAUAUCCGCUAGAACCCUCGUGCACUCUCUUCAGUUAUGCUCACGAAUCCAAAGAGAGAAGUGCACUUGGAAUGAUGGGCUGGAUUUGGAGAAAGGCAUGGUUUCCAUAGUCUCAUGCUGCUCUCAGGAAAUGCACUGAGAAAAUCUUAAAUCCACACACAUAAGGUCAACGAAUUUUCAAGGAAAGCACCAAAACUACUCAAUGGGGAAAGGAUAGUCUCUUCACCAAAUGGUGUUGGGAAAACUGGAUGGCCACAGGAAAGGAAUGAAAUGGAUGCUUAUCUGACACCACACACACACAUCAACUCAGGAUGGAUUAAAGACUCAAAUGUAAGACCUGAAACUUUAACACUCCUAGAAGGAAACAGAGGAAAAAGCUCCUUGACAUUGGUCUUGGUAAUGAUUUUUUGGAUCUGACACCAAAAGCACAGACAACAAAAGCAAAAACAACAACCAAAAAACAAAAACAAAAACAAAAACAAAAACCUAACGUGCUUCUGGACAGCAAAGGAAGCAAAGUGAAAGGGCAGCCUAUGGAAUGGAAGAAAAUAUUUGCAAACUGUAUAUCCAAUAAGGGAUUAAUAUCCAAAAUAUAUAAAGAACACUUAAUAGCAAAACCAAAACCAAAUAAUCUGGUUUAAAAAUGGGCCAAGGAUCCAAAGAGACAUUUUUCCAAAGAAGACCUACAAAUGGCCAACAGCUCUGUGAAAGAUGCUCAACAUCACUUAUCAUCAGGGAGAUGCAAAUCAGGUAUCACCUCACAUCUGGAGAGAAAAAGACACACGAGAUGAACACAGAAGGGAGAAGUUCUUGUGACGAUGGAGUCAAAGAGUGGAGGGAAGGGGCUAUAAGCCAAGGAACCCCAAGGAUUGCGGGAGCUGUCAGAAGCGAGGAGAAGAGGAAGGAUUCUUCCUUAGAGACUUCAAAGGGAACAUGGCCCUGCUGACACCUUGAUUUCAGACUUAUAGCCUCCAGAACUAUGACAGAGUAAAUCUCUGUUGUUUUAAGCCACCAA
Long non-coding RNA from Acinonyx jubatus (cheetah), 1050 nucleotides. RefSeq lists it as uncharacterized. The record is from RefSeq and is a predicted model, not a curated record. The transcript is spliced from 3 exons. Lineage: Eukaryota; Metazoa; Chordata; Mammalia; Carnivora; Felidae.